This 301-nucleotide ribosomal RNA is filed under the name uncultured bacterium. Its description in RNAcentral is "partial 16S ribosomal RNA". It matches the Rfam family "Bacterial small subunit ribosomal RNA", at positions 509 to 809 of the family's 1533-position model. The record is from RNAcentral.
CAGUAGCCGCGGGAAUACGUAGGGUGCGAGCGUUAAUCGGAAUUACUGGGCGUAAAGCGGGCGCAGACGGUUACUUAAGCAGGAUGUGAAAUCCCCGGGCUCAACCUGGGAACUGCGUUCUGAACUGGGUGACUAGAGCGUGUCAGAGGGAGGUAGAAUUCCACGUGUAGCAGUGAAAUGCGUAGAGAUGUGGAGGAACACCGACGGCGAAGGCAGCCCCCUGGGCCAAUACUGACGCUCAUGCACGAAAGCGUGGGGAGCAAACAGGAUUAGAUACCCCCGUAGUCCCUGUCUCUUAUAA